RNAcentral lists this ribosomal RNA (745 nucleotides) under uncultured bacterium. RNAcentral's name for it is "bacterial SSU rRNA". It matches the Rfam family "Bacterial small subunit ribosomal RNA", at positions 33 to 773 of the family's 1533-position model. The record is from RNAcentral.
ACGCUGGCGGCAGGCCUAACACAUGCAAGUCGAGCGGUAGAGAGAAGCUUGCUUCUCUUGAGAGCGGCGGACGGGUGAGUAAUGCCUAGGAAUCUGCCUGGUAGUGGGGGGUAGCGUUCGGAAACGGACGCUAAUACCGCAUACGUCCUACGGGAGAAAGCAGGGGACCUUCGGGCCUUGCGCUAUCAGAUGAGCCUAGGUCGGAUUAGCUAGUUGGUGAGGUAAUGGCUCACCAAGGCGACGAUCCGUAACUGGUCUGAGAGGAUGAUCAGUCACACUGGAACUGAGACACGGUCCAGACUCCUACGGGAGGCAGCAGUGGGGAAUAUUGGACAAUGGGCGAAAGCCUGAUCCAGCCAUGCCGCGUGUGUGAAGAAGGUCUUCGGAUUGUAAAGCACUUUAAGUUGGGAGGAAGGGCAGUAAAUUAAUACUUUGCUGUUUUGACGUUACCGACAGAAUAAGCACCGGCUAACUCUGUGCCAGCAGCCGCGGUAAUACAGAGGGUGCAAGCGUUAAUCGGAAUUACUGGGCGUAAAGCGCGCGUAGGUGGUUUGUUAAGUUGGAUGUGAAAUCCCCGGGCUCAACCUGGGAACUGCAUUCAAAACUGACUGACUAGAGUAUGGUAGAGGGUGGUGGAAUUUCCUGUGUAGCGGUGAAAUGCGUAGAUAUAGGAAGGAACACCAGUGGCGAAGGCGACCACCUGGACUAAUACUGACACUGAGGUGCGAAAGCGUGGGGAGCAAAC